UUGCGAGCAUGAGGACUAAUUGUAGUCCUGGCCGUUACAGAAGAAGAGGAUUGCUCAAUCUUGGAAGAAGCACUGUCUGAGGCUUGCCUGACGGAUGAAGCAUUGCCUGAUGGACUUCCAGUAUAAGGUGGACGCCUCAAACCCUUAUUUCGAAGGCCUCCUGUCAACAUCUUCACCGAUUUUCUGAAAAGAUAACAUGGAGGACAAGUGUGCAAUUAAGAAAGAUGUUUCUGAAUUGAUAGGCAAUACACCAAUGGUAUAUAUCAACAAUAUUGUUGAUGGUUGUGUAGCCCGUAUCGCUGCGAAGCUUGAAAUGAUG
Molecule: non-coding RNA, 319 nt
Organism: Corylus avellana
Lineage: Eukaryota; Viridiplantae; Streptophyta; Magnoliopsida; Fagales; Betulaceae
Source: RefSeq, a predicted model, not a curated record